This 1174-nucleotide long non-coding RNA is filed under the name Homo sapiens (human). RNAcentral's name for it is "long intergenic non-protein coding RNA 1141". The record is from RNAcentral. Lineage: Eukaryota; Metazoa; Chordata; Mammalia; Primates; Hominidae.
GUGGACAGGAGGAGGACCUAAGUGGACCCGGAGGCUGAGCUGGCCUCGCAGCACUGGUGGUGGGGGAGGGCUGAUGGUCAGGACUCUGGGUCUUUGGCACUGCUGCCUAGGCCGUGGCCCUCAGUCUGCCCAUCUGUGAAAUGAGGGGGAGCUGGUCCUGACUGCCUCCCAGGGACCCUGUGAAAAGCCGCUCUGAACUCCUUGCCAGAGAGGAGGUUUGCCGGUGCCACAAUCCAGCAUUUCUGGGGUUCACUCUGCUCUGGGUACUGUGUAAAGGACUCCACAGCCAUCAACUUCCCUUCAUCCUUGCCGUGUCUUUGAAAGAGCUGAGAUUUCUUUACAUCACAGUGGUUCAAGGAGAAAAACACAGCCAGAUCCUUCCUCAUCUCAACAUAAAUUAAACCCAGAGGCAGUCAGCGCCACAGUCCACACUCGUAACCGUUACACUCACCUGGAAAUAAAAGUAUUUUUGUGCGGGGACUGCAAGGACUAAGCCCGGCCGCACUCCGAGUUUCUCCUCCUCACAGACUGGAUGAUGAGAGGCACAGCUGAGUCCGGAGCAGACUGAGCCACCUAAGAGGGGAGGAACCGCUGCAGAGAAACCGUGUUAAGCCUUUUUGAAGUUCCAGAGGGAGAACAAGAGAGCGGAGGCUCCUGGUGGCUGGUGACAGGAGCCUGCAGAGCCACUGCCCUGACAGGGGACACCUCACUUCCUCUCCUUGCAGCUGCUCUUGGCUGGGAGAGCAGAGAACAGGGGACAGGAGAGAAGCCCCGAGAGUACUGAAGCUGAGGCUGGGGCGGUCUUCACUUCCCUCUUUCCUCGGCCCUUUUCCUGUUCUCUUGUCUUGUCUCUCUUUCUCUACUUUCCUUCUCCCUAGCCCAGUCUCUCACCGCUCUUCAGCCUCUGGGCCUUUCCUUCUUCCUCUCUUGCCCUCAUUCUUCCUUCUCUGUCCCUCUUGUCUUCUCUUUUACCUCUUCUCUUCUUCCCUCCUUCCUACAGCUAUGCCCUCUUCCCUCCUUUCUCUUGUCCCCAACCAGGGCAUUAGAAAUGCAUUCCAGUUACACUGAUCUGAUCACUGCAUAUUGUAUGCAUGCAUCAAAAUAUCACAUGUACCCCAGAAAUAUGUAAAUUACUGCAUAUCAAUAAAAAGAAAUGUAGCUUCUUUGCCUCACA